UUGGUCUUACAAUUCAUGUUUAUAUCUGUUUAAUAUGACCCAGGCCCACAGCUCGUUUUAGUAGCAACGGUAAAAUAUAUAGUUGUCUUUUAUACUUUUCAGAAUUAUCUUGCUAAAAAACCCCCAGAAAUAUCGAUGGCCUUGAGUUUGCUGGACACUUCAUUUUAAAACGUCUUUCUGAUUGGCCAAGAAUAUGUAGUUGGCGAAAAUAAUUAAAACUUUCAAAAAGAUAAUGGCAUUGCAAUGUAAAAAAUUCUAAAAGUAAUGAAUUCUGCUUUAAUAAUAUAGAUUUUCAUAAUAAAAAUUCAAUAAAAAAUGAAUUAGAAAAAAUGUUACACAGGAAAAACAAAAAAAAAAGUAAUAAAAUAAUGAUAAGUUUUAAUUGUUUUUGACCAAACACAUAUAAUGAUCCCUUACGGCGACAGUGAC
Molecule: long non-coding RNA, 429 nt
Filed under: Brassica rapa (field mustard)
Lineage: Eukaryota; Viridiplantae; Streptophyta; Magnoliopsida; Brassicales; Brassicaceae
Description: long non-coding RNA (BRAP_LNC006337)
Source: RNAcentral